CCUACGGGUGGCAGCAGUCGAGAAUCAUUCACAAUGGGGGAAACCCUGAUGGUGCGACGCCGCGUGGGGGAAUGAAGGUCUUCGGAUUGUAAACUCCUGUCAUGUGGGAGCAAAUUAAAAAGAUAGUACCACAUGAGGAAGAGACGGCUAACUCUGUGCCAGCAGCCGCGGUAAUACAGAGGUCUCAAGCGUUGUUCGGAAUCACUGGGCGUAAAGCGUGCGUAGGCUGUUUCGUAAGUCGUGUGUGAAAGGUGCGGGCUCAACCCGCGAACGGCACAUGAUACUGCGAGACUAGAGUAAUGGAGGGGGAGCCGGAAUUCGCGGUGUAGCAGUGAAAUGCGUAGAUAUCGAGAGGAACACUCGUGGCGAAGGCGGGUUCCUGGACAUUAACUGACGCUGAGGCACGAAGGCCAGGGGAGCGAAAGGGAUUAGAUACCCCAGUAGUC
This 446-nucleotide ribosomal RNA is filed under the name uncultured bacterium. RNAcentral describes it as "partial 16S ribosomal RNA". It matches the Rfam family "Bacterial small subunit ribosomal RNA", at positions 338 to 795 of the family's 1533-position model. The record is from RNAcentral.